RNAcentral lists this ribosomal RNA (497 nucleotides) under uncultured bacterium. RNAcentral describes it as "partial 16S ribosomal RNA". It matches the Rfam family "Bacterial small subunit ribosomal RNA", at positions 28 to 507 of the family's 1533-position model. The record is from RNAcentral.
GAUGAACGCUGGCGGCGUGCCUAAUACAUGCAAGUCGAGCGAACAGAUAAGGAGCUUGCUCCUUUGACGUUAGCGGCGGACGGGUGAGUAACACGUGGAUAACCUACCUAUAAGACUGGGAUAACUUCGGGAAACCGGAGCUAAUACCGGAUAACAUAUUUAACCGCAUGGUUCAAUAGUGAAAGGCGGCUUUGCUUUCCCUUAUAGAUGUAUCCCCGCCGUAUUAGCUAGUUGGUAAGGUAACGGCUUACCAAGGCAACGAUACGUAGCCGACCUGAGAGGGUGAUCGGCAACACUGGAACUGGGAAACGGUCCAGACUCCUACGGGAGGAAGCAGUAGGGAAUCUUCCGCAAUGGGCGAAAGCCUGACGGAGAAACGCCGCGUGAGUGAUGAAGGUCUUCGGAUCGUAAAACUCUGUUAUCAGGGAAGAACAAAUGUGUAAGUAACUGUGCACAUCUUGACGGUACCUGAUCAGAAAGCCACGGCUAACUACGUG